UACGGAGGGUGCGAGCGUUAAUCGGAAUAACUGGGCGUAAAGGGUACGCAGGCGGUCUUUCAAGUGUGAUGUGAAAUCCCCGGGCUUAACCCGGGAAGUGCAUUGGAAACUGGGAGUCUAGAGUACUGUAGGGGGGGGUGGAAUUCCAGGUGUAGCGGUGAAAUGCGUAGAGAUCUGGAGGAACAUCGAAGGCGAAGGCAGCCCCUUGGAAAAGUACUGACGCUCAUGUACGAAAGCGUGGGGAGCAAACAGG
Molecule: ribosomal RNA, 253 nt
Filed under: uncultured bacterium
Lineage: Bacteria
Description: partial 16S ribosomal RNA
Rfam family: Bacterial small subunit ribosomal RNA
Source: RNAcentral